RNAcentral lists this ribosomal RNA (422 nucleotides) under uncultured bacterium. RNAcentral's name for it is "bacterial SSU rRNA". It matches the Rfam family "Bacterial small subunit ribosomal RNA", at positions 355 to 774 of the family's 1533-position model. The record is from RNAcentral.
UGAGGAAUAUUGGGCAAUGCCCGAAAGGGUGACCCAGCAACGCCGCGUGGAGGAUGAAGGUCGUAAGAUUGUAAACUCCUGUUAGAGGGGAAGAGUAACUAAGUUUGGAGCUUAGUAUGACUGUACCCUCAGAGAAAGCCCCGGCUAACUACGUGCCAGCAGCCGCGGUAAUACGUAGGGGGCAAGCGUUGUCCGGAUUUACUGGGUGUAAAGAGCGCGCAGGCGGAAUGGAAAGUCAGUGGUGAAAUCCUACAGCUUAACUGUAGAACUGCCUUUGAUACUUUUAUUCUUGAGUUCGGGAGAGAGAGACGGAAUUCCAGGUGUAGUGGUGAAAUACGUAGAUAUCUGGAAGAACACCAGUUGCGAAGGCGGUCUCUUGGUCCGACACUGACGCUGAGGCGCGAAAGCGUGGGGAGCAAACA